GUGCGGGUUUGUUCGCUGUCGGAACGGAGAUGGCGCGGGCCCCCGCGUCGUGUGGCCGGGUCGAGGAUGGACUGUUCACAGUGUGUCCCGACUGCCGGGUCGCUCGGCUGCGGGUGUUGCUCCCGUGAAAUUAAAGAAGCUCAGGGUCCGUGGCGAAUCGAUCGGCACCCCAUCAGACCCGUCUUGAAACACGGACCAAGGAGUCUAACAUGUGCGCGAGUCAUUGGGCUCUACGAAACCCAGAGGCGCAAUGAAAGUGAAGGGCGUUCUCGGAGCGUCCGAGGCAGGAUCCGUCCACGUCUCUCAUCGGUUGGGGGCGGCGCACUGCCGGCCCGUCUCGAUCGCCACGUCGAUGAGGCGGAGCAGGAGCGUACACGUUGGGACCCGAAAGAUGGUGAACUAUGCCUGAGUAGGACGAAGUCAGGGGAAACCCUGAUGGAGGUCCGUAGCGAUUCUGACGUGCAAAUCGAUCGUCGAAC
Molecule: ribosomal RNA, 479 nt
Filed under: Branchinotogluma sp. DC-2019
Lineage: Eukaryota; Metazoa; Annelida; Polychaeta; Phyllodocida; Polynoidae
Description: partial large subunit ribosomal RNA
Rfam family: Eukaryotic large subunit ribosomal RNA
Source: RNAcentral